AUGGAUAAAUUUUUGUUGAAAGGGAAACGACCAGCACCAGAUAGUAACGUGGCAGGGACUUCAAGGCCAGUUAGACCAAGACAAGAUCUUGCAUCAAAUAUUGGUACUACUACUCCGCCUCCGGCAGAAAUUAACUUAGAUGCACUUCCUCAUGAUCCAGCUGAUCGAAAAAGAAUAGGGCAGUACACAAAGAAUCCUAAGAAGCAAGAUGAGAUUAGAAGAAUAUAUUUAAAUAGAGGACCUUAUAGACCACAAGAAGGCUUUAAAUAUCCUCAGAAAACCAUCGCAGGAGCUGAACGGAGAUUUAGUCCAAAAUGGUUUAAAGACUAUCAUUGGCUAGAGUACAGUGAUAAGGUGCAUAAGGCAUUUUGCUUGUGUUGCUAUCUAUUUAGAGAUUGCAUCGAUGGCCAAGGUGGUAAUGAUGCAUUUGUUGUUAAAGGUUUCUCUUGUUGGAAUAAGAAACAAAGACUAGAUACUCAUGAGGGUGAAGUUAAUAGCUUUCACAAUGUAGCUGUUAAAAGAUGUGAUGCUUUAAUGAAUCAAAAUCAGUCCAUUAAGGUUGCCCUCGACAAGCAAACCGAUAUCACAAAGAAGCAAAACCGCAUUCGGCUGAAUACUUCUGUUGAAUCGGUUAGAUACUUGCUACAUCAAGGUUUAGCUUUCCGUGGCAAUGAUGAAUCAGAGGAUUCAAAAAAUAAGGGGAAUUUUCGAGAGUUGGUACAAACAUUAGCAAAUCAGAAUGAGGAUGUAAGAAAGGUAGUCCUUCAGAAUGCUCCACAAAAUUGCAAAUGGGUGUGUCCAGAUAUUCAAAAAGAACUUGUGAGUUAUUUUGCCAAGAUAACGUUGGAUUCUAUUCUUGAAGAGAUUGGUGGUGAUGUUUUCAGUUUAUUGAUUGAUGAGGCUUCGGAUGUGUCAGAUAAAGAACAGAUGGCUGUUGUCUUGAGAUAUGUUGACAAGCUUGGCUGA
This 966-nucleotide ribosomal RNA is filed under the name Triticum aestivum (bread wheat). RNAcentral's name for it is "partial small subunit ribosomal RNA". Lineage: Eukaryota; Viridiplantae; Streptophyta; Magnoliopsida; Poales; Poaceae. The record is from RNAcentral.